This 447-nucleotide ribosomal RNA is filed under the name uncultured bacterium. Its description in RNAcentral is "SSU rRNA". It matches the Rfam family "Bacterial small subunit ribosomal RNA", at positions 26 to 518 of the family's 1533-position model. The record is from RNAcentral.
AGAGCGAACGCUGGCGGCAGGCCUAACACAUGCAAGUCGAACGGAUCCUUCGGGAUCAGUGGCGGACGGGUGAGUAACACGUGGGAACGUGCCCUUUGGUUCGGAACAACACAGGGAAACUUGUGCUAAAUACCGGAUGUGCCCUUCGGGGGAAAGAUUUAUCGCCAUUGGAGCGGCCCGCGUCUGAUUAGCUAGUUGGUGAGGUAAAGGCUCACCAAGGCUUCGAUCAGUAGCUGGUCUGAGAGGAUGAUCAGCCACACUGGGACUGAGACACGGCCCAGACUCCUACGGGAGGCAGCAGUGGGAAUCUUGCGCAAUGGGCGAAAGCCUGACGCAGCCAUGCCGCGUGGAUGAUGAAGGUCUUAGGAUUGUAAAAUCCUUUCAGCGGGGACGAUAAUGACGGUACCCGCGAGAAGAAGCCCCGGCUAACUUCGCGCCAGCAGCCGC